GACGAACGCUGGCGGCAUGCCUAAUACAUGCAAGUUGAACGAUGAUAUUCUCUGCUUGCAGAGAAUUGAAGAGUAGCGAACGGGUGAGUAACACGUGGGGAACCUGCCCAUGAGAGGGGGAUAACAUUCGGAAACGGAUGCUAAUACCGCAUAAUGCUUUGGACCGCCUGGUCCAGAGACGAAAGACGGCUUUUGCUGUCACUCAUGGAUGGCCCCGCGCCGUAUUAGCUAGUUGGUGAGGUAAUGGCUCACCAAAGCUGUGAUACGUAGCCGACCUGAGAGGGUGAUCGGCCACACUGGGACUGAGACACGGCCCAGACUCCUACGGGAGGCAGCAGUAGGGAAUCUUCCACAAUGGGCGAAAGCCUGAUGGAGCAAUGCCGCGUGAAUGAAGAAGGUCUUCGGAUCGUAAAGUUCUGUUAUUAGAGAAGAACAAGUCAAGGAGUAACUGUCUUGACUUUGGCGGUACCUAACCAGAAAGUCACGGCUAACUACGUG
Molecule: ribosomal RNA, 498 nt
Filed under: uncultured bacterium
Lineage: Bacteria
Description: partial 16S ribosomal RNA
Rfam family: Bacterial small subunit ribosomal RNA
Source: RNAcentral